RNAcentral lists this ribosomal RNA (497 nucleotides) under uncultured bacterium. RNAcentral describes it as "partial 16S ribosomal RNA". It matches the Rfam family "Bacterial small subunit ribosomal RNA", at positions 28 to 507 of the family's 1533-position model. The record is from RNAcentral.
GAUGAACGCUGGCGGCGUGCCUAACACAUGCAAGUCGAGCGAACGGACGAUAAGCUUGCUUCUCUGAUGUUUGCGGCGGACGGGUGAGUAACACGUGUAUAACCUACUUAUAAUUCUGGGAUAAUUUCGGGAAACCGUAUCUUAUACCGGAUAAUAUUUUGCACCGCAUGGUUCAAAAGUGAAAUACGGCCUUGCUGUCUCUUAUAGCUGCUUCCGCGCUGCAUUAGCUAGUUGGUAAGGUAACGGCUUACCAAGGCGACGAUGCGUAGCCGACCUGAGAGGGUGAUCGGCCACACUGGAACUGGGACACGGUCAAGGCUCCUACGGGAGGCAGCAGUAGGGAAUCUUGCGCAAUGGGCGAAAGCCUGACGCAGCAAGGCCGCGUGAGUGAUGAAGGCCUUCGGAUCGUAAAGCUCUGUUAUUGGGGGAGAACAGCUGUGGAAGUAGAUGUGCACAUCUUGACGGUACCUAAUGAAAAAGCACCGGCUAACUACGUG